ACAUGCAAGUCUAACGAUGAAGCCCAGCUUGCUGGGUGGAUUACUGACUAACGGGUGAGUAACACGUGAGUAACCUGCCCUGGACUCUGGGAUAACCCCUAGAAAUCGGAGCUAAUACCGGAUACGACCUCAUAAUCGCAUGGUUUGGGGUGGAAAGUUUUUCGGUCUGGGAUGGACUCACGGCAUAUCAGCUUGUUGGUGAGGUAAUGGCUCAACACGGCGUAGAUGGGUAGCCGUCCUGAGAGGGUGACUGGCCACUCAGCGACUGAGACACGGCCCAGACUCCUACUGGAGGCAGCAGUGGGGAAUAUUGCACAAUGGGCGCACGCCUGAUGCAGCAACGCUGCGAUAGGGAGGACGGCCUUCGGGUUGUAAACCUAUUUUAGUAGGCAAGAAGGGUUUGGGCUCGACGGUACGGGCAGAAAAAGGACUGGGUAACUACGUACCAGCAGCCGCGGUAAUAAGUAGGGUCCUAGCGUUGUCGGGAAUUAUUGGGCGUAAAGAGCUCCUAGGAGCUAUGUUGCGUAUGGUGUGAAAUCCCGAGGGUCAACCUCGGGCCUCCAUUGGGUACGGGCAGAUUAUAGUGUGGUAGGGGAGAAUGGAAUUCCUGGUGUAGCGGUGGAAUGCGCAGAUAUCAGGAGUAACACCGAUGGCUGAAGGUAGUUAUAUGGGCAGUAACUGACGAUGAGGAGCGAAAGCGUGGGGAGAGAACAGGAUUUGAUUCCCUGGUAGUUCAUGCCCUAAACGUUGGGCGCCAGAUGUGGUGAC
Molecule: ribosomal RNA, 768 nt
Filed under: uncultured bacterium
Lineage: Bacteria
Description: bacterial SSU rRNA
Rfam family: Bacterial small subunit ribosomal RNA
Source: RNAcentral